RNAcentral lists this ribosomal RNA (460 nucleotides) under uncultured bacterium. RNAcentral describes it as "partial 16S ribosomal RNA". It matches the Rfam family "Bacterial small subunit ribosomal RNA", at positions 338 to 795 of the family's 1533-position model. The record is from RNAcentral.
CCUACGGGAGGCAGCAGUGAGGAAUAUUGGUCAAUGGACGAGAGUCUGAACCAGCCAAGUAGCGUGAAGGAUGACUGCCCUAUGGGUUGUAAACUUCUUUUAUCUGGGAAUAAAAUGUUCCACGUGUGGGAUUUUGUAUGUACCAUAUGAAUAAGGAUCGGCUAACUCCGUGCCAGCAGCCGCGGUAAUACGGAGGAUCCGAGCGUUAUCCGGAUUUAUUGGGUUUAAAGGGAGCGUAGGUGGAUUGUUAAGUCAGUUGUGAAAGUUGUCGGCUCAACCGUAGAAUUGCAGUUGAAACUGGCAGUCGUGAGUACAGUAGAGGUGGGCGGAAUUCGUGGUGUAGCGGUGAAAUGCUUAGAUAUCACGAAGAACUCCGAUUGCGAAGGCAGCUCACUGGACUGCAACUGACACUGAGGCUCGAAAGUGUGGGUAUCAAACAGGAUUAGAUACCCUUGUAGUC